Schistocerca nitens (vagrant locust) is the source of this 7831-nucleotide long non-coding RNA. RefSeq lists it as uncharacterized. The record is from RefSeq and is a predicted model, not a curated record. Lineage: Eukaryota; Metazoa; Arthropoda; Insecta; Orthoptera; Acrididae. The transcript is spliced from 2 exons.
UGAUUGACCUUGGAUAAACACGAAGUGGUUGUAUGACAGUUGACAGCACUGUGAGUAGAGUUCGAGAUGAUAGUGUCGGUCGUAUUUAGUUGUUCAACAGAAGUUUGGUGAUCGAUAAUACAUACCGUUUCGUCAUGGCAGACAGCGAGGAAAAAGCACUGAUGCUAAUGUCGGAAGCGGAGAAGAAAUCGAAAUCAGCUAAAGGAUUUUUUGGGACCUUAAUGGGAGGGAACGAUAGCACAGAUGAAGCCAUCGACUAUUAUGAAAGGGCAGGAAAUUUAUUCAAAAUGAAUAAAAAUUGGGACAGUGCCGCAGACGCCUAUCUUCGGGCUGCGAAACUACAGAAAAGGGUAGGUAGAGAGCACGACGCAGUGAUGAAUAAAGUUACUGCCGCUAACUGCUUCAAGAAAACGAAUCCGCAAGAGGCUGUACAUUGCUUGUUGGAAGUUGUCGAGUUCUACAAAGAGACUGGGAAGUUUGUUAUGGCUGCCAAACAACACCAAGCAUUAGCAGAAUUGUAUGAGAAACAGCUCUUGAACUGGCAGCAAACCGUACAUCAUUAUCAAGAAGCGGCCGAUAUGUUUUCUGCAGAAAAUAGCACAGCCUCGGCGACCAAAUGUCUUUUGAAGGUAGCAGAAUAUUCUCUUCAACAGGAAAACUACCCGAAGGCUAUUCAGAUUUAUGAGGAUGUUGCUGAAGCUGCCCUUCGCAGCGCCUUGCUAAAAUAUAGUGCCACUGAUUAUUUCUUCAGGGCAGCAUUAUGUCAUUUUUGUGUUGACACACUGAACGCACAUAACGCCUUGAUGCGAUAUGCAGAUAUGCAUCCAGCAUUCGAAGAAUCGAGAGAAUAUAAGUUGCUGAAAACUCUGAUUCAGCACGCAGAAAAUGAAGAUGUUGACGCUUUUUCGGAGGCAGUCAUUAAUUACAAUUCAGUAUACCGAAUGGAUGAAUCUUACAUGAAAAUCCUUGAAAAGAUAAAAAGCCACAUUGAUAGUGUUGAUCUUCGAUAAACAGGAUAUUUUACGUUCCUUAGCAGUAUUUUAUCGCUCGUUGUGAAGAGUUGUGACAAAAAUUAUAGAUUAUUUAGAGAACAGUCAUUAUUAAAGAAUUCUAUGCUGUGAUAUUACUAUCCCCUGUCUCAUUAUUAAUGUAAGAUAAUGUUUGUUAGCUUAUACUGUUUCACCAAACAGGCUUACUGUAUUGCAGUUAUGUGAAAAUGGCAUUCGUAGCUAUGAAGAACUUUGUUGUAAAGUGUGACAUAAUAUGUCCACAAAUGUCAGAGUUCAUAGGUGCAUUGAACCAGAUCUGAUAAUUAAAGUUCCUUAUAGGCUACUUAGAAAUAUACUUUUUUAUUGUCGUAAUAUUAGGCAGUAAGUAUGGAUUUAGAUUACUUCUGUUAUUUGUUGCACUCUUAUGGCAUGAUCAUUUGUGUUACUGUAGUUCCCGGUACUCAGAUGAUCACAGUUGUGAAUAGAUUGCUGUGGCUGUAACUUGUUACACUAACUGUAGCCUAAUGCUGGGGGUUCUUAAGUUUCUUCUACAGCUGUAGUGUAGAAUAAUGCAUUUUAUGGCUUCAUACGAAUCUGGGUAGCUUCAAUUUUUUGGUCAUUUUUUUUACUAAAGUUUUCACUGUAAUCUGACACAAGAAAUUGAAGAUUACAAGGGGAGGGGAGGGGGGAGGGAGUGAGAGUGUGCAUAUUGUGUGUAUAUAUGUUUGGAGAGGAGAUAUGGUGUGGCUGUGGCUUCUUAUAUAUUACUUUUUAACAGCAGUAUUAUCUCUGAUACAUUUUUAAUAUACAAGAAGUGCUUUAACUUCUAUGGGAGAGGGAACCUAGUUAUAAUUAUUUCUUGGUGACAGUUUUUAUCAUAAUUCCACGUAACUUAUCUACUACUGUAAGAUAUUCUGUAAUAUUAUCUAAAUUGUACAUUUUCAAGCUAAAUCAUAUUUUUUCUCGUAUCCACUAAAUCCACAACACUAUAGUAUGGAGGUAUCCUUAACUUAAUACUGAAAAGAAUUUUUAUUGCUUUAGCUUGAUUAGUAUUCAGGUUGUGCCACACAUGUGGAUGCCAAGAGAUUUUAUAAGCAGUUCAUGUAUAAUGUAUGGAGAUCUUUUCAAAGUAAUAGCAUUUAUGGUAUGUUCUUUUCUUUAUGUAGAAAAUAUUCGUAACAAAUGCAGGCUGUAUCUUUCAUUCCACAGAGGAGUGUUCAGUUGGAAUACUUUGUGGCAAAUUGAAAUUACAUGUUCAACAGUCAGUUUGCUGUUAUAUAUAUAUAUAUAUAUAUAUAUAUAUCUUUCCAAGCUUUUCAUUCAUAAUACUUGUGUUUACCAAAACAAUGAACUUUUUGAGACAGUUUGAAAACUGUGUUUCGAAAGGAAUAACAUGACAAAAAUGGGCUUCUGAUGUGAAAUAAUUGUAUAUGUAAAUACAAGACAGCACAGUAAUUAAAUGACAUUGUCAUCAGUUCGUGCACCUCAUGUCUAUUAGAUUUCUGCAACAGAGAGGUAAAUAAGUGUAACCAUAAUGGACGGUAGCUAACAACUUUCCCUUCGAGAUUUUCUGUGUCAGCAGCUGUUACUAUGGAAGAUGGUCACCCCUGCAUGCUGUCCAGUAAAACAUGUGUCCUCCUCCAUAGGGUCUUGAGUUACCAAAAUAUCUGCAUUGCUUGAAGGGGGGGGAACCUGCUGCACAAUGUGUUAGAAAAUUUGUGUGCUCUUAUUUUUAUCAAAUUCAUCAUUAAACUUCUUUUAAACAAGGAACAUUGUUUUCAAAUUUGUGGAAUGUUUUUUUACUCUAGCUACCUUGUAUUAAAUAUGAAGUCAUAGGGGCUUCUUCAGCAAUUAUUAGAGUGCUCUAAAUAUUCUCUUUAAAAUUAGACUGUAAAAAGUUGUAUCUUAUUUAAAUGUGAUUUCUUGUUGCAUCUUUUGGAUAAAGAGAGAUAUUUCAUGCUAGUUCCUGGCAUUGACCAGUGAUGUACGAAAUGUGACAAAUGUUGUGAACAACAUGAUGGUUAUGACGUGAAAUGGGCUAAACUACAGAACAGUCUGCCACCACAACCUGUGUUUUGGUUCCAUGUUUGAUGGCUAAGCUGAGUAACAAUAAAACUGUGAAAAUGUGCACCAAAAGGUGAUGUCACAGCAAACAUUUAACAUUAGGUCAUUGAUCGAAGCUGAAAACUGGCAUUGAAUGUUUUUCUUGGCCCCUCCUCUUUCUACGAUAUAUACAAAACAAAAAUUGUUACCAAAUGAGAAGCAGUUUGAUGAAUCUAUCCUGAUUAAUACAAACUGUAGUAACAGCUGUUGUUCAGUCAAAUUUAAUAGUCAAAAAGUAUUGUUGGACAGAAAGAGGGUGGAGUAUGGAUGACAAAUUAGAAUACUGUAAAUAGUCAAAAUUAAAAGUACCAUUAUUAUAAGCAAUAGGGACAUGAGUGUGAGCAACUACAGUGUGUGAGGAAAAACAGUUUUCCCAAACCUUUGUGUGAGCUCAGAUCUCCCUAGUUUUAACUUCAAACAAUGGAAAAAUCUGGAAUGGAAUAAUAAUUAGGAUAGAUUUCUACUCACCAUAUGAGGAGGCUUAGAGUGGCAGGCAGGUGUCAGUGCCUGGAGAUGACAGUAGCCCCGAGUGUGGGACCUGAGUUGGUACAUGAAUAUCUGUGUGUGUGUGUGUGUGUGUGUGUGUGUGUGUGUGUGUGUGUUUUUAUCAUAUGAUGAAGGACUUUAACCGAAAGCUGAUAUUUUCCAACAGCCUAGUUUAAAUAUGCGUGACUGCUGUCCAAUUCUUAACUGCUAGAGAUAAUUUUCGGAUAAGGAAUUUGGAACAAUUUCACACAAUCCUUACUCCCUGCUACUUGCUUCAAUCACUUAAGUCUCCUAGCCUAUAGCUCGUAAGUGGAAAUAUCCCCCAACAUCAGUAAAAUGACCAGGAAAUUUGCUACUAACCUUCUCCAAGUUUCCUUGAAAUGUUCCACUGUUUCUGUUGUUCCUGAGGUAAACAAUCUAUAAAAGCAUUUGAUUACCCAGUUUUAUCCACUUUUAACAUAUUUCUUCACCCAAAUAUUUUUGCAGUCAUAUUCUGUUCGAACAUCAGCCUAUCUCUGCAAUAUACAUUUCAAUCAGAAUGUAGAUUUUCAUUGCUAUUAACAUCUGGUUUCACACAGAUUCCUGUCCCUAGUGCAGCAGGUGACCUUUACUAUUGUUUAUAAGAUGGGCUAAUUCUGGGUUAUUUCUGCCAACACUAAAAUUGACUUGUACUGUGUUAACAUCUCUCUUUCUGAUCUUCCAUGAGGAAUGUUACCCGUUGUAAUGAAUGGUGCUGAUAUUCUGUCUCUGAAUUCAGAUUGUGAGUUAUGGGGCCUGUGUAGAGAUUUUGCUAUCCCCAAAAAUAAAUACACUGGUGUCCAAAAUUAAAGCAACAAACAGAAAUUUUGCAAGGCUGUGUUUACUUUGCCACAAAGCCCUAUAAACAGGUGAUAGUAAAAUAUGAACCAUGUAAAGAAUACAGAGUGUAAUAAACUGCCACAUGCAUAACAGUAGACAAAAAUUUUCUUCAUUUUUUUCCUACUUAAUGGAUUUGCACACACAUUCUGACAAUUGGUUAAUGUCCUCAGUAUGGGAUGUGACCACCUCUGGCACCAAUACAGGCCUGACAAUGACGGGACAUGUUUUGAGUGAUGUCAUCAGUCUCAUGUUGAGGCAAUAAUGCCCAUUCUUCCUGCAGAGUUGCUCUCAAGCCUUGGCGAGUAGUUAUAGGAUGCUGACAUGAUGCAGCAUCCUAGACAUGCUCUAUACGAUUCAAAUCAGGAGAGUGAGCAGGCCAAGCGAUGUGUGCAGUAUCUUCCGUUCCAAACAUCAACCACCUGUGCUACAUAAGGUUGAGCAUUAUUGUCGAUCAAUACGAAGUCUGGGCCUGCAGCAACCAUGCAUGAGAUCCCAAGAUCUCUUUAUGGUACAUGACAGUUGUUAAAUCUUGCUGAGUCACACAUACAGUUUCCUAAUGAGGUGUUCCAGUGAUCAACAUAAUCCCUGCCCUCACCAUUUGACAUCCUCCUUGAUACCAGUCUCUCUCCACAAUGUUAAUGUCCCAAAAUCAUGUUCCAGGUGCCCUCCAGAUGCAAAUCCAUUGAGAAUCCCUCCCCAUACAAAAUCGGGACUCAUCUGUGAAAAGAACAUUGGCCCAAUGUUUGACGGUCCAGGUGGAAUGUUCAUGACUCCACUCUAGACGUUCCCUUCUGUGAAGAGACACCAGAGGUAAGCAGACAGCAGGUCUCCAUCAAUGUAAGCCUUUUAUACACCGUUUGCCUCGAUACAUGUCCAGUGGGUGCUGCAAGGUCAGAUGCCAGUUGUUGUGCAGUACGAAUAUGGUACUGUUGUAUCCUUACAGCCAAAUAACAGUCCAAUCUUUCUGAUAUCACACAUGGUCGGCCAUGUCCUGGUCUGGAAUACAGUUUCGGCCUCUCUAAACUGUUGCCUUGUCUGAGAAAUAAUGGAACGAUUCACAUUAAGCUAUCAGGCCACAAUAAUUUGCAACUCUCCUGCUUCCAUUCCUCCUCUAUCCCUCCAUAGCAGAGAGUCUGUAGGUGUCUUCUCUGACAUACUGCACUGUCUGUGACUAUACAUAGUGAUUGUGGAUUUGGAACUACCCUGGAAACACCACCCCACUUGUUAGAUGCCCUGACAUCAUUUUGGUGUGGUUGUCCGUUGAUCAGCAUGGCAUCUUCCAUGCAGAACAGAAUCGUUUAAACAUCUGUCGACAGAUUGUAUGAUUAUGUUGUGAAUUAGACACAGGAAGGGGAAAUAGCAAUUUGUUGCUUUAAUUUUGGACACCAGUGUAAAUUAAAGGAUUGGAUAAAUUCACUUUGCUACCUUUGUAGCUACUUCCUGCGUGUAGUGCAUACGUUAUGUAUUGAUGGGUGUAAUUACUCUCAAUAGCUCAACAGGAUGCUGUAAUUUCUCUCUCUCUCUCUCUCUCUCUCUCUCUCUCUCUCUCUCUCUCUCUCUCUCUUCUCUCUCCUGCUGUUUCAUCAUCAUUGCUGUUACCUCCAUAAAUAAGACGUGAGACAUGUUAUCAUUACAAUGCAUCUUCUGCAAAUGAACAGUUUUAACAGAAAAUGGGAAUUUACUUUUAGAUUUAUUGGACUGUUACCAUAUGGAAGAGAGACUGGCACCAUCAAAGUAGGAGUAAAUAAAGCUCAUAUUAUAAAACAUGGUAUAAACUUCGUGUGUCAGUACAAUUUUUGCUGAACUACUUAUUAAUGGGGUAUUAUUCUCUUUAAGUGUGUGCUGUGAUGUUAAGAUAAAUACUGAAAUAUGUAAGACUAAUGGGUUGGUUCAGCUAAGAGUACAGAAUAAUGGUGUGAAGAAGUGAAGCAUAUAACGUAUUUCCUAGUAAUCUGUUUCUCCCUUCUGGCCAUAGCAGAUAAAGUAGAUUAGCUAUUAGUGUGUUUAGAUGAUCUCAAAAAUGAGAAUGAGAUUGAUAUACUCUGUCUGAACACCGUGUAACUGUGGGCAUGGAUAGUGUCAGUUAAGUGGGUAUAAUUUAGCAUCUUACACUUGUAGAUCUAGGAUGGAUAAAGGAGGAGUUGCCAUUUUCAUAAAACAAGGGUAUAAAUACACAACUGUUGAAGUAAGAAAAUUUUGUGUUGAUCAGCACUUUGAGGUUUGUGCAUGUGAACUUCAGCUAGAUAAUGUUGUGUUGAUAUUAACAACAGUGUAAAGGUCUCCAUUAGUUGAUUGGGAGCUAUUCAUAAAAAAGUUUGACUCCCUAUUAUGCUGUCUGUCAAACAAAAAGAGGAUGUUAUUAAUCUGUGGUGAUUUCAAUGUUAACUUUCUAAGCAAUUCUGAUAGGAAAAGUGAACUAGAAGUGUUGUUAACAUGUAACUUAGAAUCAGUUAUCAGUUUCCCUACAAGUAUAGCUCAGGUUAGUAGUACUCUAAUAGAUAAUGUAUUUGUACAGCAAGAGGAUGAAGAACAAACACAUGCUUUCCCUGUGGUAAAUGGAUUAUCUGACCGUGAUGCACAACUGAUUAACUUACAAAACCUAACAGGGCGUACACUUCAUAAACCAUUAAGUAAAAGUGUGAGGGUGCUCAACCCGGUAUCUAUAGAUCACUUCAGAGAAAGUUUAGGAAAUGUAAACUGGGAAGAUGUAUAUAAUGAGCCAAAUGCUAAUGAUAAAUGCAGCAUAUUUCUUGAUAAAUUUAUAUCCCUUUUUGAACAUUGUUUUCCAAAGAAAAUUACUAAAUGUAACACCACAAACUUUUCGAAGAAACCUUGGAUUACUACAGGUAUUAAAGUGUCUUCAGAAAGAAAAAGAAAACUGUACGAGACAGCAAGAACUAAUAAAGAUCCAGAAGUAGUUUUACACAAUAAAAAUUAUUGUAACAUACCGAGAAUGGUUGUAAGGAAAUCGAGAAAUAUGUGUGUUGGAGAAGAAAUUAACAAAUUAAUUAAAAUUGUGUGAUGUAGUUGACCUUUUACCCUACUCUGGUGUUCACAAUAUAUUCUAACUUAUUAUACAGAUUGAAGUAUCUGUACUGAAGAAGAUUAAUCAGUGUCCUUUUAAAAUUAUUUUUAUUUUUGGACACAAUCACAUUUACGAUUGUGGAUAACUGAUUUCAACCAUCUCGACAAUCUUUUGAUCGUGUAAUACCCAGGGAAUCAUAUGUUGUUAUUCAACAAUUGCACAUGGUUUUCUUGACAAGCACAUGAUAUGAAUGUGAUUGUUUUGGCCAGCUAAAACUGGUGUAUAUAAAUGUAAAUGUGAUUUUGCACUAGAUGAUCUUUAGAAUUCUGUGAUGGUAAGUCAUUGAAUAAAGAAUAUAUGAGCACAAUUA